AAUUCUUUUAAUUGAAAGAACUAAGUCGAAUAGAUUUAUAUUAAAAAAAAAACAAUCUGAAUAAAUCCGACCUGAUAAAAAACUAUUUAUAUUCAACCAAAUAUAAAUAUCUAAAACUAUAACUCUGGAUGCUCUAUUUUAUAUAUUUUAGUUUAUGAUUUAGUUUUGCUAUCUUUUUGUUUGCAAUAUUGAUUACUAUUUUAUCAAAUUUAUAAGUAGUAUAAAAAAUUUAAAUGUCAAAGAAAUUUAUCCAAACCGAAAAAUUUCAAGUACCUAAUUGAACCAAAAUGUGCAAAACCUAAAGGAUCCAAAUCCAAGAGGAACCGACACGAACCAACCAACAAAUCCGAAGGCAAAUGCCUAUUAUAUUCUUAUCAAAUGAAAAUUCUUCAUUAACAUGUUUAAAAAGCUUAGGGAAUUUUAAUAUUACCAUAAAUUUGAUACUACUUUUCCAAUUUACCUUUAAAUGAUAACCAUUUUCAUAACUAUCUAAAAUUUGUGAUAAAACUAAAUUGACUAUUUUAUAUAAUUUAUAAAUUUUUAAUAAUCAUUUAUAAAAGUGUAUUAACAUAAUCACAUACAGUAAAUACUAAACUCUAAUAGUAAUCUAAUCCUAAUGUUAAAAUACUUUUAACUAGAGUUAUUUUUAAAAAUUUAUAGUCAAAUUUAUGGUAUUAAAAUCAAUUUCUCAAACUUUAUUUACGUAUUAACCGACGAAAUAGCCUUUAAGUGUUCCUACCUUUCGAAUUCUUAUGGGUUUCUCUGAUUUACUUGGAAAAAAAAAACGUUGUAUGUGUAUCUAUAAUAUACACAUAGACAUGCUACCUAUAUUCUAGUUAGUCACUGGACUGACGGAAAAAAAAAAAUCACUGAACUUAAUUGGAAGAGGAAAACGCAAUUAUUGAACUUCAUUUUCAACCAUUAUUUCUCCAAAUUUAGUAUAUUAAUUCCAAUGGAUUUGCGUUCAGCGUAUCUUACACUAAGAACAUCAUUAACGGGUUCUCUAAGUCCCGUCUCUUAGUGUUUUCAGAAUUAAAAAAAAAAAGAAAAAUAGCAAUUAUUUGAAAUUACGUCUCUUAAUCAAGCAAAAGAAGAGACGUCUCUUCUCGCUCUGUCUAUCGUGAAGAAGGAAGAAAGAAAAAGAAGCCAUGGCAGGAGUAGGAUUUUUCUGGUGUAAUCUCUUCAUCUCCUUUCCUCUGUCUCUUCAUCUCCUUUCCUCUGUAAAUCCUCCCAGGUUAUCAUUUUCUCAUCUUUUAUGGUUUAAUUGAUUUCUCUCCAAUUUUCCGAAUUCCUUAGAGCUUCUUUUCGAAUUUGCAGCCGAAGGAUUUGGAGAUGUUGAUGCCAAUCUUUCUUCGUAUUAAUACCUAAAUUAAUUCAAUUUUUUUUGCCAGAUGUUGAUGAUUUCUACUCUCAAUGCGAUCCGGUAAGUCAUGGAAGCCUUAAUCGCAACGAGAGGUGAUACGUAAGAAAACCCCCAAAGCUAUAAUCAAAUCUUAGACAAGAAGCCAUGGAAGCUGAAACUGAUGCGAUGAAGGGACAAGAGUCGAAGCAACAGAUCAGAGACGAAGAACUAUUCAAAGCGGCAGAAUCCGGUGAUUUUUCGGUGUUCAUGUCUUUAUCUCUUCAACAGCUCGCGAAAUCUAUCAGUUUCCGAAACGAAGACGGUCGCUCCCUCCUCCAUGUCUCAGCUUCGUCGGUCAUUCUCAGGUUUGCUUCCUUUACCCCAAGUACUAGAAUCUAUAGUUAGACAAAAGCAUUAUGGAUUGUGUUGUUGCAAAUUUUUUAGCGAUUUGAGUUUUACAAAGGAGAAAAAGUCAGAUAUUAAAAGCGUAUGGUUGUGGGAUUUGCAGAUAGUGAAGUUGCUAUCAAGUGUACAUGAAUCAAAGACUGUAAUCAAUAGUAAGGAUGAUGAAGGAUAGGCUCCCCUACAUUCUACUGCUAGCAUCGGCAAGGCGGAGCUCGUUGAAAUCUUAUUGACUAGAGGUGCUGAUGUGAAUGUCAAAAACAAUGGUGGUCGCACUGCUCUUCAUUAUGCUGCUAGCAAGGGAUGGUUGGAAAUCGCUCAGCUUUAUUUUAAAUCAGAUGAACGUGUGCCUACUGAGUUGAAGAAAGCAAUCAUGCAAGCCCGAGGGGUGAAGAAUCUCACCCAUUCCCAACUCGCUCAAGUACACUAGUUCUCUCUUCACUUUGUCUCUUUUUUUUCUGAGUUUAAUAGUAUCCAUUGGUCUGAUCAGAAUAUACACUUGUUAGAAUUUGAGAAUAGGUGAUAGAUGUUCUUACCUAUAAAACGAGAAAUCAUGCUCCUCCCUGAUUCUUAUAUACUCAACUAAACUCUUGUAAGGUUGAUGUAAUGUUAGAUUUGCAAUGUAAAGAGUUUGUAUACUGAUUUGAUUCAAUGUUAAAAUUUUUGUUUUUAA
This is a long non-coding RNA of Brassica napus (rape), 2417 nucleotides long. RefSeq lists it as uncharacterized. Lineage: Eukaryota; Viridiplantae; Streptophyta; Magnoliopsida; Brassicales; Brassicaceae. The transcript has 2 exons. The record is from RefSeq and is a predicted model, not a curated record.